AGAGUUUGAUCAUGGCUCAGGACGAACGCUGGCGGCGUGCUUAACACAUGCAAGUCGAACGGAAAGGCCCUUCGGGGUACUCGAGUGGCGAACGGGUGAGUAACACGUGGGUGAUCUGCCCUGCACUUUGGGAUAAGCCUGGGAAACUGGGUCUAAUACCGAAUAGGACCACGCGCUUCAUGGUGUGUGGUGGAAAGCUUUUGCGGUGUGGGAUGGGCCCGCGGCCUAUCAGCUUGUUGGUGGGGUAAUGGCCUACCAAGGCGACGACGGGUAGCCGGCCUGAGAGGGUGACCGGCCACACUGGGACUGAGAUACGGCCCAGACUCCUACGGGAGGCAGCAGUGGGGAAUAUUGCACAAUGGGCGCAAGCCUGAUGCAGCGACGCCGCGUGAGGGAUGACGGCCUUCGGGUUGUAAACCUCUUUCAGCAGGGACGAAGCGCAAGUGACGGUACCUGUAGAAGAAGGACCGGCCAACUACGUGCCAGCAGCCGCGGUAAUACGUAGGGUCCGAGCGUUGUCCGGAAUUACUGGGCGUAAAGAGCUCGUAGGUGGUUUGUCGCGUUGUUCGUGAAAACUCACAGCUCAACUGUGGGCGUGCGGGCGAUACGGGCAGACUUGAGUACUGCAGGGGAGACUGGAAUUCCUGGUGUAGCGGUGGAAUGCGCAGAUAUCAGGAGGAACACCGGUGGCGAAGGCGGGUCUCUGGGCAGUAACUGACGCUGAGGAGCGAAAGCGUGGGGAGCGAACAGGAUUAGAUACCCUGGUAGUCC
Molecule: ribosomal RNA, 771 nt
Filed under: uncultured bacterium
Lineage: Bacteria
Description: bacterial SSU rRNA
Rfam family: Bacterial small subunit ribosomal RNA
Source: RNAcentral